AUGAUGGCCUUUUUAUCCUUAUAUGUGUGGAAGUAUAUGACAGUAAUGGGAUCUCUUUAUUAUUUAGUUCAUCUAAGUGUUCUCUUUCAGCUUCAGAGAAAAAAAAGACAAAGGUUUCAUCUGUGUAGAAGGUGCUCAGUGGAAUGUUUUACCAGCUUGAACUGCAACUAUUUCCAUAUAAGAGCAGUGGAUUGCUUCUAUAUGAGACCAGAGUUUGUUCGGAGGUGAGUACCAUCUUCAGUGACUAGAAUAUUGCCUGGCGCACUGUCCUCAAGACACUCGAUAUAUUUUUUGUUAAACUACUUGACUAAAGCAACUUUGUAUUUUAAUAUAGGAAUUCCAAAGAGCCAAUAAAGAGAAUUCAUCAAGCUCUCUGAAUUGUAUG
This 385-nucleotide long non-coding RNA is filed under the name Sus scrofa (pig). Its description in RNAcentral is "lncRNA (ENSSSCG00070030416.1)". Lineage: Eukaryota; Metazoa; Chordata; Mammalia; Artiodactyla; Suidae. The record is from RNAcentral.